Long non-coding RNA from Pleuronectes platessa (European plaice), 705 nucleotides. RefSeq lists it as uncharacterized. The record is from RefSeq and is a predicted model, not a curated record. The transcript is spliced from 3 exons. NCBI's taxonomy places the organism in Eukaryota, Metazoa, Chordata, Actinopteri, Pleuronectiformes, Pleuronectidae.
GUAAUUUUCCUGAAAAAUAUUAGUUAUUUGUAAUGUUUCUGUUAUUUAAGGUGUCAAAUAUCAUGUGGUGCGACCGUCCGGCCAUGACUGCCGAUGGAAAACUUCUUUGAAAUUACUCUAAAUCUAUUCAAAUUUAUUUUCUACCCUAUUUGGCAUGAUUUCCAAAGUGUUUUUUAGUACUGUACAAAAUUGCAUAGCAUUUGUAUAAAUAUUUCCAUCAUAGUAUACAAACAAACUUUUUCCGAUGAUGUCCAUUUGAUGAAAUAUCAUGUGGUGCGACCAUCAAGAAACAACCAAUUUGGGACUUUUAUGCUGAAAUCCAUUCAAAGACAGGAAGUUGCAUCAUACACCAUUUUGCCAAGGACCCAUGGAAGAAAGAACAGAUGCCACUUCCAAGCAAAAUAAAAACCGCUCGCCAUAGGCAGCGUGUUAAUUCUGACCCUGCAGCAAGAGCGAAGUACCUUGCUCGGCGAAGAUAAAGCUUCCAGAGGAGAAAACAGCAGGGAAGAUUCAAUAUGCUAAGUCAAGUGAGCUGACAGAGAGAGAGAAAAAGAAACAGAGAGAGAAAUGGAGAGCUUCCUCAAGUGCGUACAGGGAAAGGAAAAAUAUGGCAAAUGCUUUGCUAGAAAUUACGCCGCCAUCAAUGGAGAACAUUCCACAAGAUCUGGUUGAUGUGAUUUUAACCUAUGAUGAGCUUCCAUAUGU